AACGAACGCUGGCGGCAUGCUUAACACAUGCAAGUCGAACGAUCUUUUGGCUUCGGCUGAGAGGGAGUGGCGCACGGGUGAGUAGCGCGUGGGAACCUGCCCUGGAGUGGGGGAUAACCGAUGGAAACGUCGGCUAAUACCGCAUGAUCCCGGAGUGAUCCGGGCAAAGAUUUAUCGCUUUGGGAGGGGCCCGCGUCGGAUUAGCUAGUUGGUGGGGUAACGGCCCACCAAGGCUAUGAUCCGUAGCUGGUCUGAGAGGAUGAUCAGCCA
Molecule: ribosomal RNA, 270 nt
Filed under: uncultured bacterium
Lineage: Bacteria
Description: partial 16S ribosomal RNA
Rfam family: Bacterial small subunit ribosomal RNA
Source: RNAcentral